UUUUUUAGAUUUACGAAGAGGAUUUGCCCAGAAACAAGAUAUUCUCUAAGCAUCAACUGUUUAUUUCACAGGGGAUGCAAUAAUUUGGACAUAUCACUAGCAUCUCAAUAGCAACUAUAAGUGAUGUCAUAAACCAAAGUUAAUGACAUCAGACUAGGGAGGAGGAAGCACAAGGUAGCAAACUUUUAAGCCACACAAGUCUUGUUGAUAUGAAACAUUUAUAACUGAAGAAUGGGAAAGAAACACAGAGCACAUCCAUGGAACUGACAAUAAAAGAACCAAACAGAACAUCUCUGAGACAAUGCUAGGAAAGAAACGUGAUUAAGAGCUUCACUCUACAAAUCAAACUCACGAGCCUCAGGCUGAGUCAUCAGUGCAGCCGUUGGAUGUGGACCUCCUGUUUCUGAGCCUACGAUUGGACAGAAAAUCCUGGCCUUGGCUUUAGUACCUCUGCUGGUGACAGGAUGCCAAUCGGCCAUUGUGGAAAUGACAGAGCGAGUCGAAUGGCAGUUUCUCUAAUACAAUUUGCUCCAGCCCCAAACCCUUCUACUGAGGUAAAUCCAAAGAGAGCACCUGCAGGGAUAUGUCCUGACAUGCGGGAUUUAGUACCGGUAGCAUGUAGGUUUAAAAUACACAGUAUCUCCCUACAGCUUCUAACAACUAUUUGGUUUGCUGGAAUACAGCCCCAGUUUCUUUCUCCUUCUGUUUCAGCAACGUUACUCAGAUAAGCAAAGCCUGGCGCUCCUAUUCCAUUUCAGCAGUUUCAUUUGAAUUUAGAAAGCAAUCCAAAAGGAAUUGAAAUACAUGAUUUUACAGCACAGGCUCGUCGUGCACACACCAUUAUGUUUCAAUUCAUGAGAAUGUAUCUUCUCCGUGAAAUCAAUUGCCAUAGUCUUCAUUCAUUACCCAAUCACAUCUGAUGUCUGUCAGAGAGCUGCUGACCGCUACAGUAAAUCAGAGGGGCAGAAAUCCUUCGUUUCUUUCCUCAUCUCUCGACAGCCUCCUCAUGCAAGCAUGGCUAUCCUUUGCAGCAAAACCAGGAUUUCCCUCUGUAACUGCAUUUCACAACUGGGGAGGUUUUCAUAAAUGGAAAAAAUGCAGUAUGCAUAAUCCAGGAAGCUAUUGAAACGCACAGUAUCAGAAACAUAUGGCUACAGGAAAUACCUUGGCAGCGAGAGGCUGGGAAGGGGAGAACCCGCUGCAAGAAAACGCUCUUGACUAAAGGGAGGCUUUGC
Pelodiscus sinensis (Chinese soft-shelled turtle) is the source of this 1235-nucleotide long non-coding RNA. RefSeq lists it as uncharacterized. The record is from RefSeq and is a predicted model, not a curated record. NCBI's taxonomy places the organism in Eukaryota, Metazoa, Chordata, Testudines, Trionychidae.